UCCCUGGUAGCCUGGUGGUUAAGACCCUGCACUUCCACUGCAGGAAGCAUGAGUUCAAUCCCCAGUCAGGGAC
This 73-nucleotide transfer RNA is filed under the name Bos taurus (domestic cattle). It matches the Rfam family "tRNA". From Rfam's summary of the family: Transfer RNA (tRNA) molecules are approximately 80 nucleotides in length. Their secondary structure includes four short double-helical elements and three loops (D, anti-codon, and T loops). The record is from Rfam by way of RNAcentral. RNAcentral also lists the same sequence under 4 other names. Lineage: Eukaryota; Metazoa; Chordata; Mammalia; Artiodactyla; Bovidae.